Molecule: ribosomal RNA, 1624 nt
Filed under: metagenome
Description: bacterial LSU rRNA
Rfam family: Bacterial large subunit ribosomal RNA
Source: RNAcentral
GUUCUGUAAGCCUGUGAAGGUGUGCUGUGAGGCAUGCUGGAGGUAUCAGAAGUGCGAAUGCUGACAUAAGUAACGAUAAAGCGGGUGAAAAGCCCGCUCGCCGGAAGACCAAGGGUUCCUGUCCAACGUUAAUCGGGGCAGGGUGAGUCGACCCCUAAGGCGAGGCCGAAAGGCGUAGUCGAUGGGAAACAGGUUAAUAUUCCUGUACUUGGUGUUACUGCGAAGGGGGGACGGAGAAGGCUAUGUUGGCCGGGCGACGGUUGUCCCGGUUUAAGCGUGUAGACUGGUUUUCCAGGCAAAUCCGGAAAAUCAAGGCUGAGGCGUGAUGACGAGGCACUACGGUGCUGAAGCAACAAAUGCCCUGCUUCCAGGAAAAGCCUCUAAGCAUCAGGUAACAUCAAAUCGUACCCCAAACCGACACAGGUGGUCAGGUAGAGAAUACCAAGGCGCUUGAGAGAACUCGGGUGAAGGAACUAGGCAAAAUGGUGCCGUAACUUCGGGAGAAGGCACGCUGAUAUGUAGGUGAAGCGACUUGCUCGUGGAGCUGAAAUCAGUCGAAGAUACCAGCUGGCUGCAACUGUUUAUUAAAAACACAGCACUGUGCAAACACGAAAGUGGACGUAUACGGUGUGACGCCUGCCCGGUGCCGGAAGGUUAAUUGAUGGGGUUAGCCGCAAGGCGAAGCUCUUGAUCGAAGCCCCGGUAAACGGCGGCCGUAACAAUAACGGUCCUAAGGUAGCGAAAUUCCUUGUCGGGUAAGUUCCGACCUGCACGAAUGGCGUAAUGAUGGCCAGGCUGUCUCCACCCGAGACUCAGUGAAAUUGAACUCGCUGUGAAGAUGCAGUGUACCCGCGGCAAGACGGAAAGACCCCGUGAACCUUUACUAUAGCUUGACACUGAACAUUGAGCCUUGAUGUGUAGGAUAGGUGGGAGGCUUUGAAGUGUGGACGCCAGUCUGCAUGGAGCCGACCUUGAAAUACCACCCUUUAAUGUUUGAUGUUCUAACGUUGACCCGUAAUCCGGGUUGCGGACAGUGUCUGGUGGGUAGUUUGACUGGGGCGGUCUCCUCCUAAAGAGUAACGGAGGAGCACGAAGGUUGGCUAAUCCUGGUCGGACAUCAGGAGGUUAGUGCAAUGGCAUAAGCCAGCUUGACUGCGAGCGUGACGGCGCGAGCAGGUGCGAAAGCAGGUCAUAGUGAUCCGGUGGUUCUGAAUGGAAGGGCCAUCGCUCAACGGAUAAAAGGUACUCCGGGGAUAACAGGCUGAUACCGCCCAAGAGUUCAUAUCGACGGCGGUGUUUGGCACCUCGAUGUCGGCUCAUCACAUCCUGGGGCUGAAGUAGGUCCCAAGGGUAUGGCUGUUCGCCAUUUAAAGUGGUACGCGAGCUGGGUUUAGAACGUCGUGAGACAGUUCGGUCCCUAUCUGCCGUGGGCGCUGGAGAACUGAGGGGGGCUGCUCCUAGUACGAGAGGACCGGAGUGGACGCAUCACUGGUGUUCGGGUUGUCAUGCCAAUGGCACUGCCCGGUAGCUAAAUGCGGAAGAGAUAAGUGCUGAAAGCAUCUAAGCACGAAACUUGCCCCGAGAUGAGUUCUCCCUGACUCCUUGAGAGUCCUGAAGGAACGUU